CCCGCACAAGCGGUGGAGUAUGUGGUUAAUUCGACGCAACGCGCAGAACCUUACCUGGUCUUGACAUCCCGGGAAUCUUGUGGAAACACGAGAGUGCCUCGCAAGAGGAGCCUGGAGACAGGUGCUGCAUGGUUGUCGUCAGCUCGUGCCGUGAGGUGUCGGGUUAAGUCCCAUAACGAGCGCAACCCUUAUCGUUAGUUGCCAGCGGGUAAUGCCGGGAACUCUAGCGAAACUGCCGGUGUAAACCGUGAGGAAGGUGGGGAUGACGUCAAAUCAGCACGGCCCUUAUGUCCAGGGCUACACACGUGUUACAAUGGCCGGUACAGAGGGCAGCUACCUGGAGACAGGAUGCGAAUCUCCAAAGCCGGUCUCAGUUCGGAUUGCAGUCUGCAACUCGACUGCAUGAAGUUGGAAUCGCUAGUAAUCGUGGAUCAGCCAAGCCGCGGUGAAUACGUUCCCGGGCCUU
RNAcentral lists this ribosomal RNA (466 nucleotides) under uncultured Sphingobacteriales bacterium. Its description in RNAcentral is "bacterial SSU rRNA". It matches the Rfam family "Bacterial small subunit ribosomal RNA", at positions 920 to 1382 of the family's 1533-position model. The record is from RNAcentral. Lineage: Bacteria; Pseudomonadati; Bacteroidota; Sphingobacteriia; Sphingobacteriales.